AUUUUAUUGUAUGCACGCAUUUGUAUAUAUUGUAAAUAUAUAUUUAUUUAACCACAAAAAAUUUUUUCUAAUUGCAGAUAAUGAUGCUUUGCUUCCUGAGCUUGGAUAGUGUGCGUGUGUUUACUUUUCUUUAUUCUUUAUUUUGUGUGCCUCUAUCAUAGAUAUUCCAUUUUCUCUCCUGAGUAGAAAGACUUUUAAGAACAAUGAGUAGUAGUCUUUACCUGCAGGAAAAUAUCUAGAUGUUCUUUCUACCAGAAACACCCACUCUCUUUUCUUGACUUAAAGGUAUGUGGAGUCUCUCCCUCACUACUGCAGCUACCACAAAUCUCCCCUUCUUCUGAACUUGCUUAAUAUUUUUGCCAUUCUUCCUAACUCUAAAUUGAGUACUAUGUCAUUUCCUGGUCCUUUCGUCUCAGGUAGAGAGGUAGCAUGCUUGUGCUGGUCUCGAUCCAACCCCACCCUUUUGUGCUCUGCUCUUGUAUUGCCUCCCAUGAGCUCUUGAUAGUUAAGGCCAUGGGACACACCAUCGAGGCUUGGAAACAGAAGGGAGAAGCCAGAGUAUUCCUCACUCUUUCCCUGCUUUCUGUGGAAUCUGGCAGGGUCCCACCGGACAGCCUCUCCCUACCUGGCCCCAGCUCUCCCUUGGACAGUUUCACCAGUGUUUCUGGCUUCCUCUGCCUGACAGCCCAGGUUUCUGGGCUCUGGUAACACUGUCUUCUCCCAGUGUCACCUGUGCAACAAGGGGAGAAGCCUCUUGGUUUUGCUAAAUCUUUGAGUUGCUUUUCCAUUCCCUAUUUGGCUUCUUCAUUCUUCCAUGCUUCUAUUUAAUGAAUCCUUUGUGAAAAAAAAAAUUCCCUUCCCCUGAAAGACCUACUUAUUCUCCAGGAUAGAUUCGCAAUUGCUACAACAGAUAGUAAAAAAGAGCAAAAGCUUGGAAGCUGGAGGGACGUAAAACUAAAUACUGUUGCUUACUCUGUGAACUUGGACGAGUGACUUAACUUCAUUCUGUAAACUGGCGGGGGGGGGGGUCACAAUACCUGCCUCAUUGGGCUGUUAUAAGUAUUAAAUAGCGUACAGGCCCAGUCAUGCUAUAGGGAUGGUGCCUGUGCUGUAGCUAGGACUCUGUCAAUGGUAGCUACCAUUAUUGAUUUAUAAAUUCCUUGACAGCAUGACUAUAAUAUUACUCUCUUUGUGUCCCAGUGCUUUAUGUAAAGCUGUUUGUCGCAGUCUUGUCUCUAAAAUUUUAUUUCAGCAGCAACUUAUUGAGCACCUGCUCCGUGCUAGCAAUUGUCUUAGGCACUAAUUCUAAGAAACAUGACAAAAAUAAAGCCCUUGCUUCCAAUGUGCUUGCAAUGUAAUGGGAAUAAGAGACGUGAUAACAACUACGUCUAUAGAAAGGCAAACACAGCAAACUGAGACACAUGUAACAUGGAUGGAUACAUGGCUGGAAGAAUGAGGACUGACUCUGCCUGCGAAUAUCAAGCCCAACUUCAAAGGAGCAUCAACUCUGCUGACUUUGAAGGAAGAGAAGACUUCCAACAAGCAAUGAAAGCAAGCAAGGGGAGCACAGGCUGAGGGAAUGGCGUGAACUAAUGAACCCCAUGUUUGCCCUUGUAAAUCACCCUCUUUCAUGCUGCCUCGUGUUUAUCUCCCUGCUACUGAAUGGUGUAGAAAUGAAAAGGUCACCUUAUACAUUUCUGGUCAGCAAGACAUUAAGAAUGGAAAUCAUGCUGAUAGUCCUGGAGAAGCCAUAUUUGGACAGGUACUAAAAACGACUCUUGGUGAUACAGUGGACGAAGUGGUAAUGAAAUUUAAAUAAAUGAACUUGGAUAGGCACGACAAGAGCUGUGGCGAUGGAGCUAAAGUACAGAGAAAAAGAGAAAGACAGAACCCAGCUUGCACUGAGUGCCAGUUGCCUUUACGCUGAAAGCAGAGACAAAGAUAGUGUUUCUUGUGGAUUAGAUGUGGGCUCAGCAGAAGACAGCCAACCUGGAGCCAUUUCAGAUUUCACUCAAGAGUCCUACUCAAAAAGAUGAAGUGACCCCAACAAAGGGCUGGUUCACCUGAUUCCCACUGCUGUGGGAGGAAAUAGAAGUGACCAGCGGGAGGUAAAUGUUUCACCCACAGUACAGGCAGUUCAAUGUGGGAGCCUCCAAAGUACCCAUGAAACCACCCACAAGAAGAAUAGUCAGCUUUGAACAUCCACCAGAAAAAGACAGCUUUAAACAUUUGCCACAGCCAGAGGAAACCAAUGCCAAAGUACCUUGGUGCCAGUCAGAUUUUUUUUAAGGGUAAAAGUCUAUAUUUGGAAGUGUCCUUUUAAUGAUCGUCUAUGAAUACAACCUACUUCAGACAUGGAAACAGCCUCCAGACAAACAAACAUGAUGAGGAGCAGAGAGAGAAUCCAAGCAGGCUGUCAGCAGGGAGCUCAAUGUUGGACUUGAUCCUGUGAACUGUGAGAACACGACCUGAGCCGAAAUCAAGAGUUGGAUGCCCAGCCAACUGAGCCAGCCUGGCACCCCUGGACUUUAUUUUUAUUAUAUACACAAUUUUUUAAGAUUUU
Molecule: long non-coding RNA, 2563 nt
Organism: Prionailurus viverrinus (fishing cat)
Lineage: Eukaryota; Metazoa; Chordata; Mammalia; Carnivora; Felidae
Exons: 5
Source: RefSeq, a predicted model, not a curated record